UACAGAGGGGGCAAGCGUUGUUCGGACUUACUGGGCGUAAAGGGCGCGUAGGCGGCCUGCUAAGUCGGACGUGAAAUCCCUGGGCUCAACCCAGGAACUGCGUCCGAUACUGGUUGGCUUGAAUCCGGGAGAGGGACGUGGAAUUCCAGGUGUAGCGGUGAAAUGCGUAGAUAUCUGGAGGAACACCGGUGGCGAAGGCGACGUCCUGGACCGGCAUUGACGCUGAGGCGCGAAAGCCAGGGGAGCAAACGGG
RNAcentral lists this ribosomal RNA (253 nucleotides) under uncultured bacterium. RNAcentral's name for it is "partial 16S ribosomal RNA". It matches the Rfam family "Bacterial small subunit ribosomal RNA", at positions 524 to 776 of the family's 1533-position model. The record is from RNAcentral.